Long non-coding RNA from Oncorhynchus nerka (sockeye salmon), 2503 nucleotides. RefSeq lists it as uncharacterized. The transcript is spliced from 2 exons. The record is from RefSeq and is a predicted model, not a curated record. NCBI's taxonomy places the organism in Eukaryota, Metazoa, Chordata, Actinopteri, Salmoniformes, Salmonidae.
ACUGCACGAUGGACACAUUCAGAGGCCGAGAAGUCUGACACCAUGCCAUGCAUGGUAACAAAUGAAGCAUGAACACAACACCAUCUAAAGUUUCAUUUUGCAAGGUACAUAGAUCGUGACUGUUAAUAAGUCUUUGACCACACGGUGUUGUUACAUUGGUGAGUAUAAACUCAUGCUUCCUACGCUUUAAGAUGUUUUCUCAUUUCUCUCCCUCAUCAGGAUGGAGGACAAUGAAAAAUCACAGAAAUAUCAAAUAAAGGCAGACCAAUCAAUUAGUUAUAGUGUUUUUACUGAUAUCAAUGUUCCUUUAUUAAUUAUUAAGUGAUUCAAACUUGGUAACGAAAUUUAUACAAUUGAAUUGCCUACAAUGGGAAAUUGUGGUAGACACAAACCACAAUUGGGCUCACAAGUUUGGACAGCACUGUACAGCACAGUAUAGUUCAGGACAAUAAACUAGAGUUGAGUACACUAUAAUGUACUGCAUUGUGCUAUACUGUACUGAACUACACUUUACUGAACUCUGCUGUUCUGUAAUGUGCUCUACUGUACUCUGAGCUUUACUGUGCUCUACUUUGAUGUCCAAACUUGGUUCAGAUUUGGUCCGGUCUGGACCAACCAAAUUUGGUCUUGUUAGGAGGCAGAGCACAUUAAAAUAAUAGCCAGUGUGUAGAAUAUUGCAUAUUUCUACUUUUUGUGUACCUAUUUAGGAUACAUCACCAUGAAGAAGAGAAUGACACAUUCAUAGCCAUAAUUAUGCAUUUCUGUGUCGUACAGAUCAGGGACCCAUGAUGAAAUUCUGUUACUACAAUUCCAUUACGGGGCGUGUAAAUCCACUUCACUUAAAAUAGACUUUUCAAAGUCAAUUUGUCAUGUCAUAGCUGACACCCCAUUCCUUCUGCAGACAUUGUUGAAUCUAAAUUCGGAGCAGAUAUUUUGGAAAACGUGGACACAUUUUAAAAAAAAACAAUAAAAAAAAAGGAAUAAGGGGAGAGUUGCCUAACUGACAAAAACAUGGGGUUGGAAGAGAAUGAGUAUUGUGGGUAAGGAAACUAGAAGUAAAGAAGAGUGAAAGGGUUUUGAGAGUCAGACAGAGAGAAAGAUCCCCAGGAUUAUGGCAAUUGUAGCUCAGAAGAGAAGAGUGAAAUGAGAAGGCAGCUAUGUUGGAGACUGUGAGUGAGGAGGAGUGUGUAGCAGCAGGAGAGAGGGAAGAGAGAGGGGGAAGAAAGGGAGAAGGAUUGGGUUUCCUCUGACUGUGUCUGGGCAGCUCCACAUGUUCCACAUUAAGGUCCUAACACUGCAGGACCAACUAGGCCUACACACCGUGCUGCUUGUUUUGUUAUUAGGCCCAUGUGGUCGAGAAACCUAAACUUGGCCAGUGCUAUAGACCGUCUCCUCUCUCCUGAAAUCCUUUGCAAACUAUAGUGAACAAAAAUAUAAUCACAACAUGCAACAAUUUCAGUGAUUUUACUGAGUUACAGUUCAUAUAAAGAAAUCAGUCCAUUGAAAUAGAUGAAAACGCCUGAAUCUAACAAUUUCACAUUACUGGGCAGGGUCACAGCCUCGGAUGGGCCUGGGAGGCAUAAGCCCACCCAUUGGGGAGCCAGACCCACUGACUGGGAAACAAGGCCCGACCAAUCAGAAUGGGUUUUUCCACACAAAAGUGCUUUAUUACAGACAGAAAUACUCCUCAACACCCACCACCCCUCCCUCAAACGAUCCCACAGGUGAGGAAGCCGGAUGUGGAGGUCCUGGGCUAGCGUGGUUACACAUGGUCUGUGUUUGGGAGGCCGGUUGGACGUACUGACAAAUUCUUUAAAAUGACGUUGGAGGUGGCUUAUGGUAAAGGAAUGAACAUUCAAAUAUCUGGAAACAGCUAUGAUGGACAUUCCUGCAGUCAGCAUGCCAAUUCUCAAUACUUGAGACAGCUGUGUGAUUCUGUUGUGUGAAAAACUGCACAUUUUAGAGUAGCCUUUUAUUGUACCCAGCACAAGGUGCACCUUCUUGAUAUGCCACACCUGUCAGGUGGAUGAAUUAUCUUGGCAAAGGAGAUCUGCUCACAGGGAUGUAAACACAUUUGUGCAAAACAAUUAAGAGAAAUAUGUUUUUUGUGCGUAUGGAACAUUUGUAGAGUCUUUUAUUUCAGCUCAUGAAACAUGGGACCAACACUUUACAUGUUGUGGUUAUAUUUGUGUUCAGUAUAGUAUACACCCCUUGUUUAGAGCAAUCCUCUUCUAAAAGUUUAUGAUCUUAAAUAAACUGUGUUUUUUGUUUUAUUUCACACUAAUUUGUCCACUGAAAUCCAGAUGUAGCCUCCUGUGUUCUAUUUAUUAUUGUCAAAUAUUACACAAAAUACUUUGUUCUCCAUAUCCCCCUUCCCCGGCAAAUAUUGUAAUGUAAAUUGUUUGAGUGCCUUCCUUGUAUUUAUGUGAACCUGCAAGUAAACAUGUAAUGUGUUCACCAUGUGUUCCUGUGCAUAUGACAAAUAAACUUAACUUGAACUUGA